RNAcentral lists this ribosomal RNA (253 nucleotides) under uncultured bacterium. RNAcentral's name for it is "partial 16S ribosomal RNA". It matches the Rfam family "Bacterial small subunit ribosomal RNA", at positions 524 to 776 of the family's 1533-position model. The record is from RNAcentral.
UACGUAGGAGGCGAGCGUUGUCCGGAAUUAUUGGGCGUAAAGAGCGUGUAGGCGGCCUGAAAGGUCAGCUGUGAAAACUCGAGGCUCAACCUCGAGACGUCGGUUGAAACCAUCUGGCUAGAGUCCGGAAGAGGAGUGUGGAAUUCCCGGUGUAGCGGUGAAAUGCGCAGAUAUCGGGAAGAACACCCGUGGCGAAGGCGGCACUCUGGGACGGUACUGACGCUGAGACGCGAAAGCGUGGGGAGCGAACAGG